GCAGGCCAACAACUUCCUAUGGCCGUUCCAACUCAAGGCACCUUUGGGUGGACUGAAGAAGAAAAGGAAUCACUAUGUUGAAGGAGGUGAUGCUGGUAACCGUGAGAACUUUAUCAAUGAACUUAUUAGGAGGAUGAACUAAGAGAGUUGGAAAUUUUGCUAUAUUAGGAUUGAGAACUUUAUCUCAACUUUUUCAGACCCUUUUGGGUUAUUGAAGUGAUAAACAGCUUCAGAUUUUCUGCCUUCAUUUUGAGAUUGUUUAGAGUUAUGACAGUAUACGACAAUGAUGAUGUUUUUUUCCGCAGGGAACAUAUCUAAUGUCAAAU
RNAcentral lists this unclassified non-coding RNA (326 nucleotides) under Hevea brasiliensis (rubber tree). Lineage: Eukaryota; Viridiplantae; Streptophyta; Magnoliopsida; Malpighiales; Euphorbiaceae. The record is from RNAcentral.